GCUACGGGUGGCAGCAGUGAGGAAUAUUGGUCAAUGGGCGGGAGCCUGAACCAGCCAAGUCGCGUGAGGGAAGACGGUCCUAUGGAUUGUAAACCUCUUUAGGCGGGGAGCAAUGCCGGGCACGCGUGCCCGGAGGGAGAGUACCCGCAGAAUAAGCAUCGGCUAACUCCGUGCCAGCAGCCGCGGUAAUACGGAGGAUGCGAGCGUUAUCCGGAUUUAUUGGGUUUAAAGGGUGCGUAGGCGGAUUUUUAAGUCAGCGGUAAAAUGUCCGGGCUCAACCCGGGCCGGCCGUUGAAACUGGGGGCCUUGAGUGCACACAGGGAUGCCGGAAUUCAUGGUGUAGCGGUGAAAUGCUUAGAUAUCAUGAAGAACUCCGAUCGCGAAGGCAAGUGUCCGGGGUGCAACUGACGCUGAGGCUCGAAAGUGCGGGUAUCAAACAGGAUUAGAUACCCUGGUAGUC
This 460-nucleotide ribosomal RNA is filed under the name uncultured bacterium. RNAcentral's name for it is "partial 16S ribosomal RNA". It matches the Rfam family "Bacterial small subunit ribosomal RNA", at positions 338 to 795 of the family's 1533-position model. The record is from RNAcentral.